ACAGCAUGAAAGUGACAGGAGAAGGAUGUGUCUACCUCCAGACAUCCUUGAAAUACAAUAUUCUCCCAGAAAAGGAAGAGUUCCCCUUUGCUUUAGGAGUGCAGACUCUGCCUCAAACUUGUGAUGAACCCAAAGCCCACACCAGCUUCCAAAUCUCCCUAAGUGUCAGUUACACAGGGAGCCGCUCUGCCUCCAACAUGGCGAUCGUUGAUGUGAAGAUGGUCUCUGGCUUCAUUCCCCUGAAGCCAACAGUGAAAAUGGUAGAUCUAACCAUGUGAGCCGGACAGAAGUCAGCAGCAACCAUGUCUUGAUUUACCUUGAUAAGGUGUCAAAUCAGACACUGAGCUUGUUCUUCACGGUUCUGCAAGAUGUCCCAGUAAGAGAUCUGAAACCAGCCAUAGUGAAAGUCUAUGAUUACUACGAGACGGAUGAGUUUGCAAUUGCUGAGUACAAUGCUCCUUGCAGCAAAGAUCUUGGAAAUGCUUGAAGACCACAAGGCUGAAAAGUGCUUUGCUGGAGUCCUGUUCUCAGAGCUCCACAGAAGACACGUGUUUUUGUAUCUUUAAAGACUUGAUGAAUAAACACUUUUU
Molecule: long non-coding RNA, 590 nt
Filed under: Homo sapiens (human)
Lineage: Eukaryota; Metazoa; Chordata; Mammalia; Primates; Hominidae
Description: long non-coding RNA NONHSAT163282.1
Source: RNAcentral